This is a long non-coding RNA of Populus trichocarpa (black cottonwood), 1186 nucleotides long. RefSeq lists it as uncharacterized. The record is from RefSeq and is a predicted model, not a curated record. Lineage: Eukaryota; Viridiplantae; Streptophyta; Magnoliopsida; Malpighiales; Salicaceae. The transcript is spliced from 2 exons.
UUUUGAAAUGCCCUCUGACUCAGCAGUCUCUUCUCAGUCCCCAUCCCCACCCCACCCCACCCAUGACAUAGCCAAGACUUCGUCCCUGUCUCCCUAUUCUUCCAUCCUCUUGAAAUGCUCUCUCUCCCGAUCGAAAGACCUCAUAUCGAUUCCGCUCUCUCCAAAUUCAUCUCCUCAGUCCUUCCUCAUUUCAUCGACUUUGAUUUUUGUGAUUUCUUACCCGAUCGAUUUCAUCAGAAGGAAGAGGAGAUAGAGAGAGGUUUUGGAACUGAUUCAGCUUAAGAGGUUGAGUUUCGAAACGAGUGAAAUAGGAAUUCUGUUUGAACUUUUUUUUUUAAUUUUUGUGUAUUACUGGAUAGGUCAGUCUUGGAAUGCCUUUUGCAGUGCUUCUGUUGAAUGAAUAUAACCUAGCACUUGAUAAGUUCCUGAACUGUGAAUUAAAACCAUAUUUGAUUAGAGUUGGAUUGGUGGAGAGGAUGAUAAUUUGGAAAGUUUGAGCUUUUGAGGGAGUUUAUACAUGCUCAUAUAUAGCCAUGGCCACCAUUGUUGACACACAAGGAGAUUGGAUUAGAAGAGUGGAAAAUGUUCAUCAGACCCCAUUAGUUUAGCAAUAUGCUUAAUACAGAAGAAAAUACCAGUUUUCUGUGUUGAUAAGAUAACGUUUUUUUUUGUUGAAUCUAUGCAUCUAUGCUUAAUAUAGAAUAAAAUACAGUGCUUUGUGAUUCAAAUUGUGCUUAAUACAAAUUGUGAAUCUUCUGUCAUGUUAAGUGUCAUAUUUAUGGUACAACCUCUGAGAAUUGUGAGUAAUUAUUUCUAUUAUGAUUUAGCUACAAGAAAUUGUAAUUGCAAUUGUUUCCGUGAUGAUUUGGCUGCAAGAAAUUAUAAUUUAAGGAGCUUGGAGUUAAAUAUUGUUGACAAUAUUGGUGUUGGUGUUGGUACUACUAGUAGCACUAAUGUUCAUAAUAUCGGUGCUGGUACUAGUAGUAGCAGUAAUAAUCCUUUAGAAGGUAAUGAUUUUGAUGACUGUUUUAGGAAUAAUGAGGGAGAUAAAGGCAAUAAGGGUGUGUUUAGUUUACAUGACACACCUACAUAUUGUUUGUUUUAGGUUUGUUAACUUUUAGUUAUUGAAAUUCUAUGGACAUGUAUGAAUUUUUAUUUGAAUUAUGUAUUUUAAGAUGUUUGGAUA